UAGACUGUGAGCUCCUUGAGG
This 21-nucleotide non-coding RNA is filed under the name Sus scrofa (pig). RNAcentral also lists the same sequence under 2 other names. The record is from RNAcentral. Lineage: Eukaryota; Metazoa; Chordata; Mammalia; Artiodactyla; Suidae.